This is an unclassified non-coding RNA of Pan troglodytes (chimpanzee), 305 nucleotides long. Its record names the gene 7SK. It matches the Rfam family "7SK RNA". Rfam says of the family: 7SK was discovered as an abundant small nuclear RNA in the mid-70s but a possible function has only recently been suggested. Two independent studies have found that 7SK RNA binds the CDK9/cyclin T complex (known as elongation factor P-TEFb). The record is from Ensembl. Lineage: Eukaryota; Metazoa; Chordata; Mammalia; Primates; Hominidae.
GGAUGUGAGGGCAAUCCGGCUGCGACAUCUGUCACCCCACUAAUCACCAGAGUUGAUUUCAGCUGAUCUAGCUGGCUAGAUUGGUAUUAACUUCCUCCCUCACUGCUCUGUGUGCAUCUCUCCCAAAGCUGUGUGCUUGGUCAAAGAGGACGACCCUCCCUGAUAGAGGAGGACCACUCUUUGGUCAAGAAUAUACGAGUAGCUGUGCUUCCCUCACAGAAUCCCCAAACAAGCUCUCAAGAUUUUGGAGAGCAAAAGAGAGGCAGCAACCAUUUUAUUUUUACACUCAAGACAAGCAGGCGCUU